This 245-nucleotide ribosomal RNA is filed under the name uncultured Acidimicrobiales bacterium. RNAcentral's name for it is "partial 16S ribosomal RNA". It matches the Rfam family "Bacterial small subunit ribosomal RNA", at positions 796 to 1041 of the family's 1533-position model. The record is from RNAcentral. Lineage: Bacteria; Bacillati; Actinomycetota; Acidimicrobiia; Acidimicrobiales.
CACGCCGUAAACGUUGGGCACUAGGUGUGGGGCCUUUUCAACGGGUUCCGUGCCGUAGCUAACGCAUUAAGUGCCCCGCCUGGGGAGUACGGCCGCAAGGCUAAAACUCAAAGGAAUUGACGGGGGCCCGCACAAGCGGCGGAGCAUGUUGCUUAAUUCGAGGCAACGCGAAGAACCUUACCUGGGUUUGACAUGUAGGGAAAAGCCACAGAGAUGUGGUGUCCUUCGGGGUCCUACGCAGGUGG